Molecule: ribosomal RNA, 465 nt
Filed under: Vreelandella stevensii
Lineage: Bacteria; Pseudomonadati; Pseudomonadota; Gammaproteobacteria; Oceanospirillales; Halomonadaceae
Description: partial 16S ribosomal RNA
Rfam family: Bacterial small subunit ribosomal RNA
Source: RNAcentral
CCUACGGGGGGCUGCAGUGGGGAAUAUUGGACAAUGGGGGGAACCCUGAUCCAGCCAUGCCGCGUGUGUGAAGAAGGCCCUCGGGUUGUAAAGCACUUUCAGUGAGGAAGAACGCCUGGUGGUUAAUACCCAUCAGGAAAGACAUCACUCACAGAAGAAGCACCGGCUAACUCCGUGCCAGCAGCCGCGGUAAUACGGAGGGUGCGAGCGUUAAUCGGAAUUACUGGGCGUAAAGCGCGCGUAGGUGGCUUGAUAAGCCGGUUGUGAAAGCCCCGGGCUCAACCUGGGAACGGCAUCCGGAACUGUCAAGCUAGAGUGCAGGAGAGGAAGGUAGAAGUCCCGGUGUAGCGGUGAAAUGCGUAGAGAUCGGGAGGAAUACCAGUGGCGAAGGCGGCCUUCUGGACUGACACUGACACUGAGGUGCGAAAGCGUGGGUAGCAAACAGGAUUAGAUACCCUGGUAGUC